AAAGACCUUAUGCUUUUGGAGCGGCCGAUGUCUGAUUAGCUAGUUGGUAAGGUAAUGGCUUACCAAGGCGACGAUCAGUAGUUGGUCUGAGAGGACGGCCAGCCACACUGGGACUGAGACACGGCCCAGACUCCUACGGGAGGCAGCAGUGGGGAAUUUUGGACAAUGGGCGCAAGCCUGAUCCAGCAAUGCCGCGUGAGUGAAGAAGGCCUUCGGGUUGUAAAGCUCUUUCAGUCGAGAAGAAAAGGUUGUGACUAAUAAUUGCAACUUAUGACGGUAUCGACAGAAGAAGCACCGGCUAACUACGUGCCAGCAGCCGCGGUAAUACGUAGGGUGCGAGCGUUAAUCGGAAUUACUGGGCGUAAAGGGUGCGCAGGCGGUUCUGUAAGUCAGAUGUGAAAUCCCCGGGCUUAACCUGGGAACU
This 424-nucleotide ribosomal RNA is filed under the name uncultured beta proteobacterium. Its description in RNAcentral is "bacterial SSU rRNA". It matches the Rfam family "Bacterial small subunit ribosomal RNA", at positions 202 to 622 of the family's 1533-position model. Lineage: Bacteria; Pseudomonadati; Pseudomonadota; Betaproteobacteria. The record is from RNAcentral.